GACGAACGCUGGCGGCGUGCUUAACACAUGCAAGUCGAACGGAAAGGCCCUGCUUUUGUGGGGUGCUCGAGUGGCGAACGGGUGAGUAACACGUGAGUAACCUGCCCUUGACUUUGGGAUAACUUCAGGAAACUGGGGCUAAUACCGGAUAGGAGCUCCUGCUGCAUGGUGGGGGUUGGAAAGUUUCGGCGGUUGGGGAUGGACUCGCGGCUUAUCAGCUUGUUGGUGGGGUAGUGGCUUACCAAGGCUUUGACGGGUAGCCGGCCUGAGAGGGUGACCGGCCACAUUGGGACUGAGAUACGGCCCAGACUCCUACGGGAGGCAGCAGUGGGGAAUAUUGCACAAUGGGCGGAAGCCUGAUGCAGCAACGCCGCGUGCGGGAUGACGGCCUUCGGGUUGCAAACCGCUUUCGCCUGUGACGAAGCGUGAGUGACGGUAAUGGGUAAAGAAGCACCGGCUGACUACGUG
RNAcentral lists this ribosomal RNA (468 nucleotides) under uncultured bacterium. RNAcentral describes it as "partial 16S ribosomal RNA". It matches the Rfam family "Bacterial small subunit ribosomal RNA", at positions 28 to 507 of the family's 1533-position model. The record is from RNAcentral.